CACUGAAUGCUGUUUCCUUGUUCCUGGAAAGGAAGUUGCCCUGACAGGGUCUGACUUGCCACUUGUGCUCGUUUCACUGCUCACCCAUCUGCUACAGUGGCACUGUGCCCAUGCAGGGGAUGGGAUGCCAGCUUCACAUGAGUUUACGUGCCAAAAAGUAAUAGCUGGAGAGGGAUAAAAUGCAGGAUGAAAACAUGACAUCAUCUUCAGAGGGAGAUAAUCCUGGUGGUGAGCAGUGCUGAGUGCAGAACACUCCUGCCUCCGUGCAGGGGAGCACAUCUGUCAGCAAAGUCUGGCUCACAGAGCUCCUUUGUCUUUAAUUAACAUGAGCACACUCCUCUUUCCCCAAUGUCCCUUCCGUGCUUCCCAGUCUCUCAGAAAUUCAGAGGACAGUCAGGCCCUUCAGAAAGGCAAAACUGCCAUUACCCAGGAGCCUUUUAUCUAAUUAGCCCCGCAAGGGGCUUGUCCAGUCUGUCCCUUUUGUCCUGGAAGGGACAGCUGUGCCCAGGACAGGUGGCUAUUCCAGCUGGAGCUUCCCUCAGUUUCCACCACCACACUCACACUUCUCCUCCUGUGGUGUCAUAAUGGGUCAUUUUUUUUUGUUUGUGCACACAGCCAUCAAUGCAGGGAUUCACUGCCUGGAGCUCCCAAGAACCAGGAGUUAAAGCAGCAUCCAUAAAUACGAGGAUUCUCCUGCCCAGUUAUCCAGUCUUUCUGCUGUAAUAGUUAGACACGGUUUCAUGUUUUACUUUUCUACUGCCAGAACCUCCUGCAAAGCAGAGCAGGUUGAAAUGUUUACUUUGACUCACAUCUCCCAAGGCUGAGCAAAGGCAGCUGCAGUGAAGGGCCUUCGGUGUGAGUGUGGAAGAAGUUCUUCCUCCUCAAAAAUUCCUGCAUGGCAUUUAUGUGGAAUCUCACACAAGCGUGUCCUGGCUCAGCACUGCCAUUCCCAGGCACUUGUAGCUGUGCAAUCAGGCUAAGGAGACGUCCAAACAUCAGCUAAAAAACCAAGUGUGAUUUAGAAAGUUACGAGUUUUAAGAACUGAAAAGGAGUGAUGACAGUGAAUACUAAGAAAAUGUGAUUACUCAGCAUGGAAUUCUCCCAGCUGUGCUUUUCACCAGCUCUUCAAGCAGAGUUUACUCUCCAGCACGAAAUUCAAGAGCCAGUUAAACUUCACUUUCUCAGGUUUAAAGGAAACAGCAUGAAAACACUCAGUUAUGCUCACAAAAUGAUGCCACGUCAUCCAAGGAUUGACUGGUUCCAGAAAUUAGCAGAGUCACUGCACGGAUGCUUUAUGGCCAUGGAGAGGCUCCCACUGACAGCCACUCCCCUGAGUUGAGAAAGUUAUUCCAUCUGCUGGGUUUUUUUUAAGAAAUAUGAAAUAAAACAUGUAUAGAAAAACAUAUAUAGAAAUAUAUAGAAAAAUUUACCCUGAUAUAUCUCUGGCCAUUUAAAUGUAAGACUCCUAACCAACAGGAACAGAUCACAACCAACCAUGUGCAAGAGUUCCCUUUGUGCUCAAAAAGGGA
Molecule: long non-coding RNA, 1530 nt
Organism: Lepidothrix coronata (blue-crowned manakin)
Lineage: Eukaryota; Metazoa; Chordata; Aves; Passeriformes; Pipridae
Exons: 3
Source: RefSeq, a predicted model, not a curated record